RNAcentral lists this ribosomal RNA (253 nucleotides) under uncultured bacterium. RNAcentral's name for it is "partial 16S ribosomal RNA". It matches the Rfam family "Bacterial small subunit ribosomal RNA", at positions 524 to 776 of the family's 1533-position model. The record is from RNAcentral.
UACAGAGGUCUCAAGCGUUGUUCGGAUUCAUUGGGCGUAAAGGGUGCGUAGGUGGCGCCGUAAGUCAGGUGUGAAAUUUCGGAGCUUAACUCCGAAACUGCAUUUGAUACUGCGGUGCUUGAGGACUGGAGAGGAGACUGGAAUUUACGGUGUAGCAAUGAAAUGCGUAGAGAUCGUAAGGAAGACCAGUGGCGAAGGCGGGUCUCUGGACAGUUCCUGACACUGAGGCACGAAGGCCAGGGGAGCAAACGGG